CAAUUUUAUUGAGAGUUUGAUCCUGGCUCAGGAUUAACGCUGGCGGCAUGCCUAAUACAUGCAAGUCGAACGAAAGUAGCAAUCUUUAGUGGCG
Molecule: ribosomal RNA, 94 nt
Filed under: Spiroplasma ixodetis
Lineage: Bacteria; Bacillati; Mycoplasmatota; Mollicutes; Entomoplasmatales; Spiroplasmataceae
Description: partial 16S ribosomal RNA
Rfam family: Bacterial small subunit ribosomal RNA
Source: RNAcentral